UUUUUUCCUUCUCUCUAACAAUCCUAACACCACCACAAUCCACCUACCGCCGCCGCCGCCGCCACCACCACCGCCACCCACCUGUCACCACCACCACUUCACUGCAACACUCAUCAGUAGUGUCAAGAACUCGUGCUGACGGAUGGCGCCUAUGGUACUCCCAAAUCUGUACAAAAAUGAAGUGUUACUUUACGCAAACGGUGACUCUUCGUCUUAAUCACUCCACUCAAUCUCUGCAUAAUACAACUCACCCAACACCAUAUCAAAUCAAAAAGAUUGCUAAUUGAAAGUUGUAUCUCAUCUUGUAUAAGCCCCCCCCCCUCCCCCAAUUAGGCCUUGUUUCCAGAUUCAACAAAAGCAAAAGCCCAAGAUUCUGAACAACGAAAGAUAGUGGCUCUUGCUCUGUCCAUUUCCUUACAAAGAAAUUGGAUUUUAAUAUUAAACUGGUUCUGGUGCUCUGUUUUUGGUACUCCAAAAUUUCCAAUUUUGUUCAUGUGGGUGGUCUCUUUUUUUCACAGGAAAUGCUUGAAUUCAACCAUAUCAUCUACAAAGUGUGUUAAAGUUAAUGUCUUGAUACCAUUUUGAGGUUGGGUUAGCGGAUGGCGGUGCUGGGGGUUGUGUAGCGGCGGUCGGCCGCCGGUGUUGGAUGUGCAGCGGUGGUGGGGUUGUGCAGCAGGGGACCAGGGGUGGAGGUGCAGUGGUGGUGGUAUGGUGUGAUGGGUGAGAGAAAGAGACAAGGAUGACAGAGAUAUGAGGGAGAGGGAGAGGGAGAGAGAGAAAGUUAUUAGUAUAUAUAUUCUGAAUGUUUUAAAUUUUUUUGUUUUAUUUAUUAAAUAUAUUUAAAUAAAUGAGUGAAAUUACCAAUA
Molecule: long non-coding RNA, 866 nt
Organism: Helianthus annuus (common sunflower)
Lineage: Eukaryota; Viridiplantae; Streptophyta; Magnoliopsida; Asterales; Asteraceae
Exons: 2
Source: RefSeq, a predicted model, not a curated record